AGGAAGUAGCUGACAGCUGAAAUGUGGAAAAUUGAAAGAAUUCGAAAAGUGAAAUCAAUAUCAGCAUAAGUUAACAUGUAUGAUUUUAAUUUAAUGUUUCAUCCAUAUUUAGAUUAUUUACAAGUCCAUUUUUCAUCAUUUGCCGAUUGCCACGUAAUGACGACCAUAUGUUGAAGCUGGCCAGGAAUUCUAAGCUGUCAUAAAUCCUGCAGCUAUGCAUGUUCUGUAAAUGGUGAAACUCAAAUGAAUCCAAGAACUUUGAGUUGUCAUUUCGCUUAAUUGACUGUCUUUUCCGAUUUUAAUAAUGGUGAUAUUGCAGACAUACCAUAUUGCAAGUACUUAGCUGAGCAGCUGAGCUCUUCCUUUCUGUGGUUCCUUUCAAUUGGUUCAUUUGAGUGGAAUGCCGAGAGAUGUUGAACCAAUUCCAGGUUAACCCUUCGACAUUGUGCUACAAUUUGAAGAAGUUGAUGGUUACAGAAGAACUUACUUUCAAUCAACAUCAAUAAGUUUUGUGGAUGUUUUCUGUGACAUUGUUUACCUAACUAACCAGUCCAAUGCCAGUCAGUGUUUACUCACACGCUGUAAAACUAGGAGGAUAAGAAAAGCCGGGGUAGUAAGGGGUACCUUGUAAAGCACAUGACCUAUUGACAACUUUUGGUAGUUUAACCAAGAAUCUUAUUAUGAUUUAUCAUUUUAUGUUUAAGAUAUUGUUUUUACACCUUGUUGUGCUACAAUUCAGUUCAAUUAUGAAAAUUACAAAUUUGAAUUCUA
This is a long non-coding RNA of Daphnia pulex (common water flea), 771 nucleotides long. RefSeq lists it as uncharacterized. The record is from RefSeq and is a predicted model, not a curated record. NCBI's taxonomy places the organism in Eukaryota, Metazoa, Arthropoda, Branchiopoda, Diplostraca, Daphniidae. The transcript is spliced from 5 exons.